GGCAGUCAGAGGCGAUGAAGGACGUGCUAAUCUGCGAUAAGCGUCGGUAAGGUGAUAUGAACCGUUAUAACCGGCGAUUUCCGAAUGGGGAAACCCAGUGUGAUUCGUCACACUAUCAUUAACUGAAUCCAUAGGUUAAUGAGGCGAACCGGGGGAACUGAAACAUCUAAGUACCCCGAGGAAAAGAAAUCAACCGAGAUUCCCCCAGUAGCGGCGAGCGAACGGGGAGGAGCCCAGAGCCUGAAUCAGUGUGUGUGUUAGUGGAAGCGUCUGGAAAGGCGUGCGAUACAGGGUGACAGCCCCGUACACAAAAAUGCACAUACUGUGAGCUCGAUGAGUAGGGCGGGACACGUGGUAUCCUGUCUGAAUAUGGGGGGACCAUCCUCCAAGGCUAAAUACUCCUGACUGACCGAUAGUGAACCAGUACCGUGAGGGAAAGGCGAAAAGAACCCCGGCGAGGGGAGUGAAAAAGAACCUGAAACCGUGUACGUACAAGCAGUGGGAGCCUCUUAAUGGGGUGACUGCGUACCUUUUGUAUAAUGGGUCAGCGACUUAUAUUCUGUAGCAAGGUUAACCGAAUAGGGGAGCCGAAGGGAAACCGAGUCUUAACUGGGCGUUAAGUUGCAGGGUAUAGACCCGAAACCCGGUGAUCUAGCCAUGGGCAGGUUGAAGGUUGGGUAACACUAACUGGAGGACCGAACCGACUAAUGUUGAAAAAUUAGCGGAUGACUUGUGGCUGGGGGUGAAAGGCCAAUCAAACCGGGAGAUAGCUGGUUCUCCCCGAAAGCUAUUUAGGUAGCGCCUCGUGAAUUCAUCUCCGGGGGUAGAGCACUGUUUCGGCAAGGGGGUCAUCCCGACUUACCAACCCGAUGCAAACUGCGAAUACCGGAGAAUGUUAUCACGGGAGACACACGGCGGGUGCUAACGUCCGUCGUGAAGAGGGAAACAACCCAGACCGCCAGCUAAGGUCCCAAAGUCAUGGUUAAGUGGGAAACGAUGUGGGAAGGCCCAGACAGCCAGGAUGUUGGCUUAGAAGCAGCCAUCAUUUAAAGAAAGCGUAAUAGCUCACUGGUCGAGUCGGCCUGCGCGGAAGAUGUAACGGGGCUAAACCAUGCACCGAAGCUGCGGCAGCGACACUAUGUGUUGUUGGGUAGGGGAGCGUUCUGUAAGCCUGUGAAGGUGUACUGUGAGGUAUGCUGGAGGUAUCAGAAGUGCGAAUGCUGACAUAAGUAACGAUAAAGCGGGUGAAAAGCCCGCUCGCCGGAAGACCAAGGGUUCCUGUCCAACGUUAAUCGGGGCAGGGUGAGUCGACCCCUAAGGCGAGGCCGAAAGGCGUAGUCGAUGGGAAACAGGUUAAUAUUCCUGUACUUGGUGUUACUGCGAAGGGGGGACGGAGAAGGCUAUGUUGGCCGGGCGACGGUUGUCCCGGUUUAAGCGUGUAGGCUGGUUUUCCAGGCAAAUCCGGAAAAUCAAGGCUGAGGCGUGAUGACGAGGCACUACGGUGCUGAAGCAACAAAUGCCCUGCUUCCAGGAAAAGCCUCUAAGCAUCAGGUAACAUCAAAUCGUACCCCAAACCGACACAGGUGGUCAGGUAGAGAAUACCAAGGCGCUUGAGAGAACUCGGGUGAAGGAACUAGGCAAAAUGGUGCCGUAACUUCGGGAGAAGGCACGCUGAUAUGUAGGUGAAGUCCCUCGCGGAUGGAGCUGAAAUCAGUCGAAGAUACCAGCUGGCUGCAACUGUUUAUUAAAAACACAGCACUGUGCAAACACGAAAGUGGACGUAUACGGUGUGACGCCUGCCCGGUGCCGGAAGGUUAAUUGAUGGGGUUAGCGGUAACGCGAAGCUCUUGAUCGAAGCCCCGGUAAACGGCGGCCGUAACUAUAACGGUCCUAAGGUAGCGAAAUUCCUUGUCGGGUAAGUUCCGACCUGCACGAAUGGCGUAAUGAUGGCCAGGCUGUCUCCACCCGAGACUCAGUGAAAUUGAACUCGCUGUGAAGAUGCAGUGUACCCGCGGCAAGACGGAAAGACCCCGUGAACCUUUACUAUAGCUUGACACUGAACAUUGAGCCUUGAUGUGUAGGAUAGGUGGGAGGCUUUGAAGUGUGGACGCCAGUCUGCAUGGAGCCGGCCUUGAAAUACCACCCUUUAAUGUUUGAUGUUCUAACGUUGGCCCCUGACCGGGGUUGCGGACAGUGUCUGGUGGGUAGUUUGACUGGGGCGGUCUCCUCCUAAAGAGUAACGGAGGAGCACGAAGGUUGGCUAAUCCUGGUCGGACAUCAGGAGGUUAGUGCAAUGGCAUAAGCCAGCUUGACUGCGAGCGUGACGGCGCGAGCAGGUGCGAAAGCAGGUCAUAGUGAUCCGGUGGUUCUGAAUGGAAGGGCCAUCGCUCAACGGAUAAAAGGUACUCCGGGGAUAACAGGCUGAUACCGCCCAAGAGUUCAUAUCGACGGCGGUGUUUGGCACCUCGAUGUCGGCUCAUCACAUCCUGGGGCUGAAGUAGGUCCCAAGGGUAUGGCUGUUCGCCAUUUAAAGUGGUACGCGAGCUGGGUUUAGAACGUCGUGAGACAGUUCGGUCCCUAUCUGCCGUGGGCGCUGGAGAACUGAGGGGGGCUGCUCCUAGUACGAGAGGACCGGAGUGGACGCAUCACUGGUGUUCGGGUUGUCAUGCCAAUGGCACUGCCCGGUAGCUAAAUGCGGAAGAGAUAAGUGCUGAAAGCAUCUAAGCACGAAACUUGCCCCGAGAUGAGUUCUCCCUGACUCCUUGAGAGUCCUGAAGGAACGUUGAAGACGACGACGUUGAUAGGCCGGGUGUGUAAGCGCAGCGAUGCGUUGAGCUAACCGGUACUAAUGAACCGUGAG
RNAcentral lists this ribosomal RNA (2860 nucleotides) under Escherichia coli. Its description in RNAcentral is "partial 23S ribosomal RNA". It matches the Rfam family "Bacterial large subunit ribosomal RNA". Lineage: Bacteria; Pseudomonadati; Pseudomonadota; Gammaproteobacteria; Enterobacterales; Enterobacteriaceae. The record is from RNAcentral.